This 449-nucleotide ribosomal RNA is filed under the name uncultured bacterium. RNAcentral describes it as "bacterial SSU rRNA". It matches the Rfam family "Bacterial small subunit ribosomal RNA", at positions 355 to 825 of the family's 1533-position model. The record is from RNAcentral.
UCGGGAAUUUUGGGCAAUGGGCGAAAGCCUGACCCAGCAACGCCGCGUGAAGGAUGAAGUAUUUCGGUAUGUAAACUUCGAAAGAAUAGGAAGAAUAAAUGACGGUACUAUUUAUAAGGUCCGGCUAACUACGUGCCAGCAGCCGCGGUAAUACGAAGGGGGACUAGCGUUGUUCGGAAUCACUGGGCGUAAAGCGCACGUAGGCGGAUUUGUAAGUCAGGGGUGAAAUCCCGGGGGCUCAACCUCGGAACUGCCCUUGAUACUGCAAAUCUCGAGUCCGAUAGAGGUGAGUGGAAUUCCUAGUGUAGAGGUGAAAUUCGUAGAUAUUAGGAAGAACACCAGUGGCGAAGGCGGCUCACUGGAUCGGUACUGACGCUGAGGUGCGAAAGCGUGGGGAGCAAACAGGAUUAGAUACCCUCGUAGUCCCUGAGCGGGCUGGCAAGGCGCAU